This 4995-nucleotide long non-coding RNA is filed under the name Ananas comosus (pineapple). RNAcentral's name for it is "long non-coding RNA (ACOM_LNC010145)". Lineage: Eukaryota; Viridiplantae; Streptophyta; Magnoliopsida; Poales; Bromeliaceae. The record is from RNAcentral.
UUUGGAAGACUUAGGAUGGUUUUAAAAUAUGAAUCUGGACAAGACUGAGCCUUUCAAGGUUCGGGGACCGGUCCCUGAACUAAGGGACCGGACCCCGUAGGUUCUCUAUGCGUAAAGAAACGAUGCAACCGGUCCCUGAGAUGAGAGACCGGUUCCCGUGGCAUGUGUUUUCUGCUACGCAACGAGGGACCGGUCCCUAGCUUGGAGGACCGGUCCUCGGGGGACCGGACCCUUCGGGAGGACCGGAUCCUGAGACCGAUUUUUGUUUCUAAAAUCAGGUUUUCAAAUCCUAGUCUAUCUCUAAGUCUUAUAAACCUAUAAAUAAGAUGUAGAGGUGUUUCUAAAGCAUGGCUAAGCAUAGAAUAUCUUUUUAAAAACCCUAGAAACUUGUUGGGUGCUCUCUUUCUUUCACCAACAAUAAGUUUCUAUUGGAUCAAUUCUUGAAACCCUAAUUUCUUGUUCUUCAUGGAGAAUUGAUCUGGCUAUUGUUUAGAAAUAUCUUCUACAGCUCUUUCAUGAUUAUCUAAGCAAUAAAUCAUCAUCGAUUGUAUUGUUCUUGCUCCGGACGGAGUGUACUCGUGGAUUCGAGUGGGCGUGUGGAUUCAGCAUGAUCAAGGCUUCGUGGAUUCGAAGUGUGGACGUUUCGUGGAUUUGGGAUGUGGCAUUCCUGGAGACGAACGUGGGGCGUGGACAACCCGGCGGUGUGCACGAGAUCCGAAGAAGAUAAAAGAGAGGUUUGAGUCUGUGGAUUCGGUAAAUCACCUUGUAAUCUUUUAUUUCAUAGUGGAUUGUUAUCGAUUGUUGGUCCCGUGGGUUUUUACUCCAAGUUGGAGUUUUCCCACGUAAAUCUCGGUGUGAUUUUUAUUUUUCGCAUUUAUUUUAUCGCUUUGAGAUUUGUAGGUUUUUGGUUAUUACACCUAUUCACCCUCCUCUAGGUGUUAGAUACAAUCUAGAUAGAUCCUUGGGCUACCCCAAAAUUUUCUGUUGGUAUCAGAGCGGGAUCUAGAUAAAUUAAUAUCUAAUGGCCGAAGGCGGUAAUAUUAAUCGACCACCGCUCUUCGAUGGCACGAAUUAUGCCUAUUGGAAAGUUCGCAUGAGAGCUUUUCUAAUUGCAAUCGAUGAGCGGGUUUGGCAAGCAAUCGAAUUCGGAUGGAAACAUCCUACCAAAGUUGUCGAUAAUGCUACCGUUUCUAAACUGCGGAACAAGUGGACCAAAGAUAAGAACGAGUCAUCUUCGUUUAACGGCAAUGGCAUAAACGCUUUAUUUAAUGCAUUGUCUCAAAUGGAGUUUACUCAUGUUUCGGCGUGUAGUACCGCCAAAGAGAUUUGGAAUACUCUACAAGUUACUCAUGAAGGAACUAGCUUAGUAAAGGUCCAAAAAUUACAAAUGUUAACAAGUAAAUUUGACUCGAUUUUUAUGAAAGAAAACGAGACCUUUACCGAGUACUAUACGCGUCUACAAGACGUUGUUAAUACAUGCGCGAACUUGGGAGAGAAAAUUUUGGAUGCUAAAGUUGUUAGAAAGAUCCUUCGCACUCUUCCGGAACGCUUUCGGGCAAAAGUUGCCGCGAUCGAAACUGUAAAGCAUCCGGACGAGAUGAAAGUCGAAGAGUUAGUAGGUGCUUUGCAAACUUAUGAGAUGACUUUUCUUACUAACCAAUCUUCUUCCAAGUCUUUUUCUAAAAGUACAGGAGUUGCACUCAAAUCGACAAACAAAGAAGACGAUGAUUCGGAUUCCGACGGAGGUAUUUCGCUCGCUGAUUUUGAACAUCAACUGACGCUCUCAACGAAGAAAUUUCGACAAAACUUUCGGAAAAACAAAGCUUCAUCCUCGAAACAAAAAUCGUUUUCUAAAUAAUCUUUGAGUUCUAAAUUGAAAGACAAAAAACUUGCAAAACCUUCUAAAAAAAAAGAUGAUUUUGAAGGGGAAAUCCAAUGUUACAAAUGUAAAGGCUAUUACCAUAUUUCCACGGAUUAUCCUUCUAAAAGAUCUUACAAACAAAAGGCUUUGCAAGCGAAAACUUAGGACGAUUCUACUUCUGACGAAUCGACCUCAAGUGAAGAGGAGAAAAUUAAUGUUGCUUUAAGCUCUCAAACUUCUAUACCUCCCUCUUCGACUUUUUGUUUAUCUUCAAUUAUUUCUUACUCUUUUGUUUUUCCUUCCUUGCAUGGAACGUCGAGCAAUGAUGGCGAGAGUGAGGGGGAGUCGGAUGAUGAAAGCUUGGCCGAGGCACACCAACAACUUCUCGAAGAAUCAAAGAAGAUGGCCAAGCACAUCAAAAGGCUAAGAAAACGACUACUUGAGCUUGAAGAUGAGAACACUGACUUGAAGAAUGCAUCUAAAACUCUUGGAGAGGAAAGGGAGCAAGUAUUGAAUAAUAAUACAAUUCUCCAAGAGAAGCUCAACCAAUCGGAGAUAACGAUCAAAUCACAUCAAGAAAAGGUUGGUUUUCUAGAACAACAAUAUGAAGAAAUUCGUUCAUCCAAUCAAGUUUUGACCAAACAAGUUUAUCAACUUAAAUCCGACAUUCAAAAGUUUUCCUCCGGUUCGAAAAAGCUAGACCAUAUGCUCGGAUUAGGUCAAACGGAUAAACUUGGGCUUGGUUAUGAAAGGACUUAUGUUGAGAAGGAUGAAAAGGCAAUUCAUAAAGUCUCAACAAAUUUAAAAGAGAAAAUUUGCCAUAGAUUUGGUUGCAAAGGACACAUAAAGAAAACAUGCCCUAAUAAGAAAAAGAAACAUCAACCGACAUUGUCUAAGCAUCUAUCGACAUCUUCCAAUACUCAACUUCCCCCAUGGAUUCCAAAGCAACAUCAAUCGAGUCGCGCACCUCGGAUCAACCAAAAGUCAAAACAAUCGGUACACAACUACAACAAAUCAAGACAACCGAUAAUCCGACAAGUUUGGAUUCGAAAAGGUGAUAUCUUUCCUUGUCUUAAGUCUUAAUUUGUAUUUGACUUUAUGUUUUGCUAUGAUCGGUUUUAGUGCAUAUCUAUUGAUCAUUGCAUUACAUGUGCUUCGGAUUUUUUCUGGAUUAUUUCGUGAUUAAACAUUAAAUGAUUUUUUCUGGAUUAUUUCGUGAUUAAACAUUAAAUAGUGUGUUGAACGUCGAUAAUUUACAUUCAUUCGUUUUGAAUUAAUUUCAUAUUAAUUAUCAGUUUCACUUUAUUAUCACUAUUUUUUGAAGAUAAUUUAUAAUAGAAUAUCUUAAUUCUUAUAUUCAUCAAAUUUGAGUAGUCAUGUGUGAUCUUUUGGCACUUAACCUAUCUCGGUUGUGUGUGUUGAAUUUGAUGAAUGAAAAUUUGCUAAUCGACUAAAACUUGUCAAAUUUUCUUUCAUAUAAGAGAUUGCAUAAUUAAGGGGGAGUCAUGUAUAAAAAUAUAAUAAAAAGGAGGAGAAGAAAAUACUCACAUGCGUAAAAGAUGUGGAAAGAGUUACAUCCUAAAGGGAGUGUGAAAACUUCCACCACAUGUAGGAAAGAGCUACCAUCCCUGUCGUCCGGUAAAUGUGUGAAGCUACCACAUGAAAUUCUAGUGCAUAACCGAAAAGGUUGAAAAAAAAUGUUCAUAUUAUAUAAAGAGUUUUUGGUGUAAUAAGGUGGUUUAGUAAAAAGAUGCUCAAAGAGCCACCCAUGGUACAUUAUUACUUGAUCUCGAAUUUGAACGUUUAUGUGACAAAUUUCUGUCAUUUAGUGAAUCUUCAUAAGUCAUCUUUAUAAUCCGUUACAUUUUGAUAGAUUUUGAGCCUUUAGAUUAUUUUUGAUGACUUGAUUUUGAAGUAUAUAUGGAUAAAGAAAUUUUAGUAUAUUUUAUCUACAUCUUGGUGAUCUUGUAGUGAAAUUCUUAAUUUCUAUGAAAUUGAUAUGGAUUGAAUGAAGUCUAUGUGAAUUUAUCUUACUCAUGCACUAACAUUAUUGGUACUCUCUCUAUUUUGCUACUUUCUUUUGGCAAUUUUUGACAAAAAGGGGGAGAGAGAUGAGAUUUUAGAUUUUCAUGUGUUUAAAAAAAAAUGGAUGAAUUUUAAUUUUUAUUGAUCAUUAGAAGCAUGAACAAGACACAAAGACGCAUGAACAAAGGGGAAGAGAUUUUCAUUUUUUUUUUUUAACUAACUUUGUUCGAGGAUAAAGUAUUCUUUCUGCAGAUUCUUGAAGACUUCAAGACUCCUUGUGUUUAAGUCAUAGAGUUUGUUUAGGAGUUGCAAAAUUGUAAUUUUGUAUUUUCUUUGGAUUUUUCACGCGAUAAGUUCAUUGUUUUGGUGAUGGCAAUGAAUUUCAUUUUUUAUUGGUUGGAGAGUUGAGCGUUGUGAGUACUUUGAUGUAUUUUUGAGUUUUGUCACGAAAUUGCCAAAGGGGGAGAUUGUUACGGAUUUUAUGUUGGCAUAUUUCGUGAAGUAAGUCGAAGUCUUGAAAGUUUGAAGAAGAAGAGAUGAAGAUCGAAGACUCGAAGACUCAAAACAUGAAUGUACAAUGCUCGGUAAGUUUAAAUACUAUUGAUGAUGAUUUAUAAAUGUUUAAAAGUGUUUGGAAGACUUAGGAUGGUUUUAAAAUAUGAAUCUAGACAAGAUUGAGCCUUUCAAGGUUCGAGGACCGGUCCCUGAACUGAGGGACCGGACCCCGUAGGUUCUCUAUGCGUAAAGAAACGAUGCAACCGGUCCCUGAGAUGAGAGACCGGUUCCCGUGGCAUGUGUUUUAUGCUACACAACGAGGGACCGGUCCCUAGCUUGGAGGAUCGCUCCUCGGGGGACCGGACCCUUCGGGAGGACCGGAUCCUGAGACCGAUUUUUGUUUCUAAAAUCAGGUUUUCAAAUCCUAGUCUAUCUCUAAGUCUUCUAAAUCUAUAAAUAAAAUGUAGAGGUGUUUCUAAAGCAUGGCUAAGCAUAGAAUAUCUUUUUAAAAACCCUAGAAACUUGUUGGGUGCUCUCUUUCUUUCUCCAACAACAAGUUUCUAUUGGAUCAAUUCUUGGAACCCUAAUUUCUUGUUCUUCAUGGAGAAUUGAUC